UCAAAGGCUCUUUUCAGAGCCACCUAUUUAUUCUAUAAAGUGCUG
Molecule: non-coding RNA, 45 nt
Organism: Otolemur garnettii (small-eared galago)
Lineage: Eukaryota; Metazoa; Chordata; Mammalia; Primates; Galagidae
Source: Rfam